Molecule: ribosomal RNA, 301 nt
Filed under: uncultured bacterium
Lineage: Bacteria
Description: partial 16S ribosomal RNA
Rfam family: Bacterial small subunit ribosomal RNA
Source: RNAcentral
CAGCCGCCGCGGGAAUACAGAGGGUGCGAGCGUUAAUCGGAUUUACUGGGCGUAAAGCGCGCGUAGGUGGUUUGUUAAGUUGGAUGUGAAAGCCCCGGGCUCAACCUGGGAACUGCAUCCAAAACUGGCAAGCUAGAGUACGGUAGAGGGUGGUGGAAUUUCCUGUGUAGCGGUGAAAUGCGUAGAUAUAGGAAGGAACACCAGUGGCGAAGGCGACCACCUGGACUGAUACUGACACUGAGGUGCGAAAGCGUGGGGAGCAAACAGGAUUAGAUACCCCGGUAGUCCCUGUCUCUUAUAU